AGUCGAACGAAAUCUUCGGAUUUAGUGGCGGACGGGUGAGUAACGCGUGAGAAUCUGGCUUCAGGUCUGGGACAACCACUGGAAACGGUGGCUAAUACCGGAUGUGCCGAGAGGUGAAAGGUUAACUGCCUGAAGAUGAGCUCGCGUCUGAUUAGCUAGUUGGUAGAGUAAGAGCCUACCAAGGCGACGAUCAGUAGCUGGUCUGAGAGGACGAUCAGCCACACUGGGACUGAGACACGGCCCAGACUCCUACGGGAGGCAGCAGUGGGGAAUUUUCCGCAAUGGGCGAAAGCCUGACGGAGCAAUACCGCGUGAGGGAGGAAGGCUCUUGGGUCGUAAACCUCUUUUCUCAGGGAAGAACACAAUGACGGUACCUGAGGAAUAAGCAUCGGCUAACUCCGUGCCAGCAGCCGCGGUAAUACGGAGGAUGCAAGCGUUAUCCGGAAUGAUUGGGCGUAAAGCGUCCGCAGGUGGCAAUGUAAGUCUGCUGUUAAAGAGUCUAGCUCAACUAGAUAAGAGCAGUGGAAACUACAUAGCUAGAGUACGUUCGGGGCAGAGGGAAUUCCUGGUGUAGCGGUGAAAUGCGUAGAGAUCAGGAAGAACACCAGUGGCGAAGGCGCUCUGCUAGGCCGUAACUGACACUGAGGGACGAAAGCUAGGGGAGCGAAUGGGAUUAGAUACCCCAGUAGUCCUAGCCGUAAACGAUGGAUACUAGGCGUGGCUUGUAUCGACCCGAGCCGUGCCGUAGCUAACGCGUUAAGUAUCCCGCCUGGGGAGUACGCCGGCAACGGUGAAACUCAAAGGAAUUGACGGGGGCCCGCACAAGCGGUGGAGUAUGUGGUUUAAUUCGAUGCAACGCGRAGAACCUUACCAAGGCUUGACAUGUCGCGAAUCCUGGUGAAAGCUGGGAGUGCCUUCGGGAG
RNAcentral lists this ribosomal RNA (923 nucleotides) under uncultured Nostoc sp. Its description in RNAcentral is "bacterial SSU rRNA". Lineage: Bacteria; Bacillati; Cyanobacteriota; Cyanophyceae; Nostocales; Nostocaceae. The record is from RNAcentral.